GCAGGUGUGGUGUAGAGGUAGCACCACGGUCCGCCAGGCCGACGGCGCGGGUUCGAUUCCCGCCACCUGCU
This 71-nucleotide transfer RNA is filed under the name Myxococcales bacterium. Its description in RNAcentral is "tRNA-Gly". It matches the Rfam family "tRNA". From Rfam's summary of the family: Transfer RNA (tRNA) molecules are approximately 80 nucleotides in length. Their secondary structure includes four short double-helical elements and three loops (D, anti-codon, and T loops). Lineage: Bacteria; Pseudomonadati; Myxococcota; Myxococcia; Myxococcales. The record is from RNAcentral. RNAcentral also lists the same sequence under 1 other name.